Long non-coding RNA from Dermochelys coriacea (leatherback sea turtle), 230 nucleotides. RefSeq lists it as uncharacterized. Lineage: Eukaryota; Metazoa; Chordata; Testudines; Dermochelyidae. The record is from RefSeq and is a predicted model, not a curated record. The transcript is spliced from 4 exons.
UUCAUGCCUUUUUUUAAGCCCUAUGAUGCUGUCAUGGGAUAACAGGGAAGGUCCUCUCAUGGAUUGGUAACUGGUUAAAAGAUAGGAAACAAAGGGUAGGAAUAAAUGGUCAGUUUUCAGAAUGGAGAGAGUAAAUAGUUGUGUCCCCCAAGAGCCUGUACUGGGACCAAUCCUGUUCAACAUAUUCAUAAAUGAUCUGAAAAAAGUGAGGUGGCAAAAUUUGCAGAUGA